RNAcentral lists this ribosomal RNA (253 nucleotides) under uncultured bacterium. Its description in RNAcentral is "partial 16S ribosomal RNA". It matches the Rfam family "Bacterial small subunit ribosomal RNA", at positions 524 to 776 of the family's 1533-position model. The record is from RNAcentral.
UACGGAGGGGGCUAGCGUUGUUCGGAAUUACUGGGCGUAAAGCGCACGUAGGCGGCUUUGUAAGUUAGAGGUGAAAGCCCAGGGCUUAACCCUGGAAUUGCCUUUAAGACUGCAUCGCUAGAAUCGUGGAGAGGUGAGUGGAAUUCCGAGUGUAGAGGUGAAAUUCGUAGAUAUUCGGAAGAACACCAGUGGCGAAGGCGGCUCACUGGACCGGUAUUGACGCUGAGGUGCGAAAGCGUGGGGAGCAAACAGG